UCCUCUAACUUUCCGAAACUGCCUGCCUGAGAUGGGGAAGCCCUGAGUUGCCAAACAGUGAUUUGAGAGUAUAUAAGGCAAGGCCAUCGUGGCGACGGCAGAGUCUUCUCUUGCACUCGCAUCUGCAACAUCUCAAAUAUGGUUUCUCGCGUCGUGUUGGUCGUACUGGCGGUGGUCGUCCUAGCGGCCGCAGCAGUGGCUCUCCCUGACCCCACGAAACGGCACCUCGGAUUCGGCUUGCACGGAGGAUACGGAGGAUACGGCCUCGGAGGAUUUGGCUUGGGAGGCUACGGAGGAUACGGAGGCUAUGGCUAUGGAUCCCACUAUCCUUAUUACGGAUCCUACUACGGAUAGAUAACAAAAGACCAAGUGAACGACAUUAGUGUUAUGGACUUCGUUUCCUGCCUUUCAGCUGGGUCGAUGAAUCCCAUAGGUUGUCAGCGAACAAUCAUCC
This is a long non-coding RNA of Penaeus monodon (black tiger shrimp), 454 nucleotides long. RefSeq lists it as uncharacterized. Lineage: Eukaryota; Metazoa; Arthropoda; Malacostraca; Decapoda; Penaeidae. The record is from RefSeq and is a predicted model, not a curated record. The transcript has 3 exons.